CCUACGGGUGGCAGCAGUAGGGAAUAUUGCUCAAUGGGGGAAACCCUGAAGCAGCAACGCCGCGUGGAGGAUGAAGGUUUUCGGAUUGUAAACUCCUUUUGUUAGAGAAGAUAAUGACGGUAUCUAACGAAUAAGCACCGGCUAACUCAGGUCCAGCAGCCGCGGGAAUACGGAGGGUGCAAGCGUUACUCGGAAUCACUGGGCGUAAAGAGGGCGUAGGCGGGAUAGCAAGUGAGGUGGGAAAUCCUAUGGCUUAACCAUAGAACUGCAUUUGAAACUGGUAUUCUAGAGUAUGGGAGAGGUAUGUGGAAUGCUUGGUGUAGGGGUAAAAUCCGUAGAGAUCAAGAGGAAUACUCAUUGCGAAGGCGACCUGCUAGAGCAUAACUGACGCUGAUGCGCGAAAGCGUGGGGAGCGAACAGGAUUAGAUACCCGGGUAGUC
RNAcentral lists this ribosomal RNA (440 nucleotides) under uncultured bacterium. Its description in RNAcentral is "partial 16S ribosomal RNA". It matches the Rfam family "Bacterial small subunit ribosomal RNA", at positions 338 to 795 of the family's 1533-position model. The record is from RNAcentral.